This 72-nucleotide transfer RNA is filed under the name Ophiocordyceps unilateralis. It matches the Rfam family "tRNA". From Rfam's summary of the family: Transfer RNA (tRNA) molecules are approximately 80 nucleotides in length. Their secondary structure includes four short double-helical elements and three loops (D, anti-codon, and T loops). Lineage: Eukaryota; Fungi; Ascomycota; Sordariomycetes; Hypocreales; Ophiocordycipitaceae. The record is from Rfam by way of RNAcentral.
AGCGGUGUAGUGUAAUAGUAACAUAUACGGCUCAUGCCCGUAAGAUACUGGGUGCAAUUCCCAUCGCCGCGU